RNAcentral lists this ribosomal RNA (429 nucleotides) under Bacteroidota bacterium. Its description in RNAcentral is "Bacteroidetes bacterium partial 16S ribosomal RNA". It matches the Rfam family "Bacterial small subunit ribosomal RNA", at positions 355 to 776 of the family's 1533-position model. Lineage: Bacteria; Pseudomonadati; Bacteroidota. The record is from RNAcentral.
UAGGGAAUCUUCCGCAAUGGACGCAAGUCUGACGGAGCAACGCCGCGUGAGUGAAGAAGGAUUUCGGUUCGUAAAACUCUGUUGUUAGAGAAGAACAGCGCAUAGAGUAACUGUUAUGCGUGUGACGGUAUCUAACCAGAAAGCCACGGCUAACUACGUGCCAGCAGCCGCGGUAAUACGUAGGUGGCAAGCGUUGUCCGGAUUUAUUGGGCGUAAAGCGAGCGCAGGCGGUCAAUUAAGUCUGAUGUGAAAGCCCCCGGCUCAACCGGGGAGGGUCAUUGGAAACUGGUUGACUUGAGUGCAGAAGAGGAGAGUGGAAUUCCAUGUGUAGCGGUGAAAUGCGUAGAUAUAUGGAGGAAAACCAGUGGCGAAGGCGACUCUCUGGUCUGUAACUGACGCUGAGGUUCGAAAGCGUGGGUAGCGAACAGG